This 468-nucleotide ribosomal RNA is filed under the name Lactobacillus sp. oral taxon H25. RNAcentral describes it as "bacterial SSU rRNA". It matches the Rfam family "Bacterial small subunit ribosomal RNA", at positions 28 to 470 of the family's 1533-position model. Lineage: Bacteria; Bacillati; Bacillota; Bacilli; Lactobacillales; Lactobacillaceae. The record is from RNAcentral.
GACGAACGCUGGCGGCGUGCCUAAUACAUGCAAGUCGAGCGAGCUGAACCAACAGAUUUACUUCGGUAAUGACGUUGGGAACGCGAGCGGCGGAUGGGUGAGUAACACGUGGGGAACCUGCCCCUCAGUCUGGGAUACCACUUGGAAACAGGUGCUAAUACCGGAUAAUAAAGCAGAUCGCAUGAUCAGCUUUUGAAAGGCGGCGUAAGCUGUCGCUAAGGGAUGGCCCCGCGGUGCAUUAGCUAGUUGGUAGGGUAACGGCCUACCAAGGCAAUGAUGCAUAGCCGAGUUGAGAGACUGAUCGGCCACAUUGGGACUGAGACACGGCCCAAACUCCUACGGGAGGCAGCAGUAGGGAAUCUUCCACAAUGGACGAAAGUCUGAUGGAGCAACGCCGCGUGAGUGAAGAAGGUUUUCGGAUCGUAAAGCUCUGUUGUUGGUGAAGAAGGAUAGAGGUAGUAACGGCCU